RNAcentral lists this ribosomal RNA (40 nucleotides) under Debaryomyces hansenii. RNAcentral's name for it is "partial 28S ribosomal RNA". The record is from RNAcentral. Lineage: Eukaryota; Fungi; Ascomycota; Pichiomycetes; Serinales; Debaryomycetaceae. RNAcentral also lists the same sequence under 4 other names.
GUUUGACCUCAAAUCAGGUAGGAUUACCCGCUGAACUUAA